This 775-nucleotide ribosomal RNA is filed under the name uncultured Neocallimastigales. RNAcentral's name for it is "partial large subunit ribosomal RNA". It matches the Rfam family "Eukaryotic large subunit ribosomal RNA", at positions 18 to 644 of the family's 3401-position model. Lineage: Eukaryota; Fungi; Neocallimastigomycota; Neocallimastigomycetes; Neocallimastigales. The record is from RNAcentral.
UUCAGACGAUGCGUCAUGCAUAUCAAUAAGCGGAGGAAAAGAAACUAACAAGGAUUCCCCUAGUAACGGCGAGUGAAGCGGGAAGAGCUCAAAUUUGAAAUCUUAAAGGGUUUCCCUUUACGAAUUGUAGUUUAAAGAAGUGUUUUCUGUUGAGGUUUUGGUAAAAGUUCUUUGGAAUAGGACAUCAUAGAGGGUGAGAAUCCCGUAUUUGACCUUUACUUUCAACUUUGUGAUACACUUUCAAAGAGUCGGAUUGUUUGGGAAUGCAGUCCAAAAUGGGUGGUAAAUUUCAUCUAAAGCUAAAUAUUGGCGAGAGACCGAUAGCGAACAAGUACCGUGAGGGAAAGAUGAAAAGAACUUUGAAAAGAGAGUUAAACAGUACGUGAAAUUGUCAAAAGGGAAGCGUUUGACACCAGUGUUGUUUUUCUGAAAAUCAAUUAAAGAACUGUUUAUGCUAAGCUGUUUAGACUUUAUCAGCUAACUGUUUAGUUUUGAGCUUUUCUUUAAUGCACUUUUCAGUUAACAAGUCAACAUCAAUUUCUUUUGCUGUAAAAAAGCUUGAGGAAGGUGGCUUGAGAUUCGUCUUAAGUGUUUAUAGCCUCUUGCCUAUGCAGUCGGAGAGAUUGAGGUCUGCAGCGUAGAUCCUUCGGGGCUAAAUGCAUUUGUGCUAAGUUAUAGCAUUUCAUAGACAACUUGUUGACUAUGAUUUGUCUUGUAGCUUACUCGCUUAUGUUAUUUUACCUACGCUUAGGAUGUUGAAUCUGUGCGAGACUAC